CAUGGCUCAGGACGAACGCUGGCGGCGUGCUUAACACAUGCAAGUCGAACGGAAAGGCCCCUUCGGGGGUACUCGAGUGGCGAACGGGUGAGUAACACGUGGGCAAUCUGCCCUGCACUUCGGGAUAAGCCUGGGAAACUGGGUCUAAUACCGGAUAGGACCUUUAGGCGCAUGUCUUUAGGUGGAAAGCUUUUGCGGUGUGGGAUGGGCCCGCGGCCUAUCAGCUUGUUGGUGGGGUGAUGGCCUACCAAGGCGACGACGGGUAGCCGGCCUGAGAGGGUGUCCGGCCACACUGGGACUGAGAUACGGCCCAGACUCCUACGGGAGGCAGCAGUGGGGAAUAUUGCACAAUGGGCGCAAGCCUGAUGCAGCGACGCCGCGUGGGGGAUGACGGCCUUCGGGUUGUAAACCUCUUUCACCAUCGACGAAGGUCCGGGUUUUCUCGGAUUGACGGUAGGGGAGAAGAAGCACCGGCC
This 476-nucleotide ribosomal RNA is filed under the name Mycobacterium sp. FI-05334. RNAcentral's name for it is "bacterial SSU rRNA". It matches the Rfam family "Bacterial small subunit ribosomal RNA", at positions 18 to 498 of the family's 1533-position model. Lineage: Bacteria; Bacillati; Actinomycetota; Actinomycetes; Mycobacteriales; Mycobacteriaceae. The record is from RNAcentral.